CCCUUAGAUGUUCUGGGCCGCACGCGCGCUACACUGAUGCAUUCAACGAGUUUCUUCCUGGUCCGAGAGGAAUGGGUAACCUUUUGAAAGUGCAUCGUGAUAGGGAUAGACUAUUGCAAUUAUUGGUCUUCAACGAGGAAUACCUAGUAGACGUAGUUCAUCAGACUGCAUCGAUUACGUCCCUGCCCUUUGUACACACCGCCCGUCGCUCCUACCGAUUGAAUGCUCAGGUGAGCCAUUCGGACUUUCAUCAUGCUGGUUUCCAGUUUUGAUGAAGGAAAGUCUUGCGAACCUUAUCAUUUAGAGGAAGGAGAAGUCGUAACA
RNAcentral lists this ribosomal RNA (324 nucleotides) under uncultured eukaryote. Its description in RNAcentral is "partial 18S ribosomal RNA". It matches the Rfam family "Eukaryotic small subunit ribosomal RNA", at positions 1470 to 1796 of the family's 1831-position model. The record is from RNAcentral.